Molecule: ribosomal RNA, 468 nt
Filed under: uncultured bacterium
Lineage: Bacteria
Description: partial 16S ribosomal RNA
Rfam family: Bacterial small subunit ribosomal RNA
Source: RNAcentral
GACGAACGCUGGCGGCGUGCUUAACACAUGCAAGUCGAACGGAAAGGCCCUGCUUUUGUGGGGUGCUCGAGUGGCGAACGGGUGAGUAACACGUGAGUAACCUGCCCUUGACUUUGGGAUAACUUCAGGAAACUGGGGCUAAUACCGGAUAGGAGCUCCUGCUGCAUGGUGGGGGUUGGAAAGUUUCGGCGGUUGGGGAUGGACUCGCGGCUUAUCAGCUUGUUGGUGGGGUAGUGGCUUACCAAGGCUUUGACGGGUAGCCGGCCUGAGAGGGUGACCGGCCACAUGGGGACUGGGAUACGGCCCAGACUCCUACGGGAGGCAGCAGUGGGGAAUAUUGCGCAAUGGGCGGAAGCCUGAUGCAGCAACGCCGCGUGCGGGAUGACGGCCUUCGGGUUGUAAACCGCUUGCGCCUGUGACGAAGCGUGAGUGACGGUAAUGGGUAAAGAAGCACCGGCUAACUACGUG